RNAcentral lists this ribosomal RNA (109 nucleotides) under Salmonella enterica subsp. enterica serovar Agona str. SA-4. RNAcentral describes it as "partial 23S ribosomal RNA". It matches the Rfam family "Bacterial large subunit ribosomal RNA", at positions 2819 to 2925 of the family's 2925-position model. RNAcentral also lists the same sequence under 1 other name. The record is from RNAcentral. Lineage: Bacteria; Pseudomonadati; Pseudomonadota; Gammaproteobacteria; Enterobacterales; Enterobacteriaceae.
AGAGUCUCCUGAAGGAACGUUGAAGACGACGACGUUGAUAGGCCGGGUGUGUAAGCGCAGCGAUGCGUUGAGCUAACCGGUACUAAUGAACCGUGAGGCUUAACCUUAC